Molecule: ribosomal RNA, 265 nt
Filed under: uncultured bacterium
Lineage: Bacteria
Description: partial 16S ribosomal RNA
Rfam family: Bacterial small subunit ribosomal RNA
Source: RNAcentral
GUCCACGCCCUAAACGGUGGAUGCUAGGUGUGGGGGGUGUCGACCCCCUCCGUGCCGCAGCUAACGCUUUAAGCAUCCCGCCUGGGGAGUACGGCCGCAAGGCUAAAACUCAAAGGAAUUGACGGGGGCCCGCACAAGCGGCGGAGCGUGUGGUUUAAUUCGAUGCAACGCGAAGAACCUUACCAAGGCUUGACAUGCUAGUGGUACGGAUCAGAAACGUGAAGGACCCUUCGGGGAGCUAGCACAGGUGCUGCAUGGCUGUCGU